UGGCCUCUUUCGAGGCAUGUGCACGCCCGAGCUCUUAAAUCCACAACACACCUGUGAACCCACCGUAGGCCUUCGGGCUUAUGUAUCAUAUACUCUGAAUGUGUCAUAGAAUGUUCAUGUUGCCUUAAAACGCAAUCAAAUACAACUUUCAACAACGGAUCUCUUGGCUCUCGCAUCGAUGAAGAACGCAGCGAAAUGCGAUAAGUAAUGUGAAUUGCAGAUUUUCAGUGAAUCAUCGAAUCUUUGAACGCACCUUGCGCUCCUUGGUAUUCCGAGGAGCAUGCCUGUUUGAGUGUCAUUAAAUUCUCAACCCCACCGAUUUGCUUUGGGGGGAUUGGACUUGGAGUGUGCUGGCGAAGGUCGGCUCCUCUUUAAAUGCAUCAGUGGAGAGAAACUUGCCCCAGUGUGAUAAUCCUGUUGCGCUGUGGUGGGCGAAAGUCUGCUUCCAACCGUCCCUCCGGGGACAUACAUCAUCUCAUUUUGACCUCAAAUCAGGUAGGACUACCCGCUGAACUUAAGCAUAUCAAUAAGCGGAGGAAAAGAAACUAACAAGGAUUCCCCUAGUAACUGCGAGUGAAGCGGGAAAAGCUCAAAUUUAAAAUCUGGNGGUCGCUAUGGCCGUCCGAGUUGUAAUCUGGAGAAGUGUUUUCCGCGUCGGACCGUGUACAAGUCUUCUGGAACGGAGCGUCAUAGAGGGUGAGAAUCCCGUCUCUGACACGGACUGCCGAUGCUUUAUGUGAUACGCUCUCGAAGA
Molecule: ribosomal RNA, 754 nt
Filed under: Amphinema byssoides
Lineage: Eukaryota; Fungi; Basidiomycota; Agaricomycetes; Atheliales; Atheliaceae
Description: eukaryotic LSU rRNA
Rfam family: Eukaryotic large subunit ribosomal RNA (bases 482-754)
Source: RNAcentral